RNAcentral lists this long non-coding RNA (1956 nucleotides) under Vitis vinifera (wine grape). RNAcentral describes it as "long non-coding RNA (VVIN_LNC002203)". The record is from RNAcentral. Lineage: Eukaryota; Viridiplantae; Streptophyta; Magnoliopsida; Vitales; Vitaceae.
UGAAAGAUUGGCAGUUGUUUUCUGGAUGCCUGGUCUCAGUUCACUAGUUUGAGCACCCAGGGAUGGCAGACAAAGAUUCAUUUCCAUCACUCUCAUCAAUAUGAAGUGAUUUCCUCUUCUUGGUAGAAGGAAAAGUAAUCUGGGCUGGCCCAUUUGUCGAGAUCCAGGUAUCAUUGAAUCUUGACUUUUGGGUAUCCAAGGCAACAGAAGAGUAAAGAAAGUCAGGUUAGGAAAUAGAAAAGACACCUAAUAUGCACAGAACCAUAAAAACAACUGCCCUGCACCAUUGAAUGUUGACAUAUACCCGAUUCAUUGAUAUUGGUUCCUGUUCCUGGCUCCCUAGCAAAGCCAUUCUGUGUCACCCAGUGAACAUGUUAAUUACAAGGUUAUCCUCAUCUUCUGCAAGAUCUGAUUCAUUGUCAUCAAUUUGCAGUUCAUCCUCGUCUGCUGCAUGAUCUGAUUCAUUGUCAUCAAUUAGCUAUUCAUUAGUUGAUUUGAGGGAAUCGUGUCCGCCCUUGGUCAGUCCAGUCACAUUAUAUGCCACCUUUAAAUCAGUUUCCCUCUCAAAGAUCUUGUUCAUUACUGAGUUCAUCAUAUUAAGCUCCUCCUUGUUCAUCCCACCACUUUGUGGCUCUCGAUCACAAAAGUAUUGUUUUUGAGCAGUGUGAGGAGGGCCAGAGUGUUCCUCACAAUCACAGAAAUGGGUUGGGAGAGAAGGAACUUCAAUGCGUUGGAAACUAUAUUUGUGCUUGCCAGUUCCACUAAAAGGUAACGACUUCAUCUGCACAAGAAAGUCCCAUUUCAAAUAAGGGAAUGUUCCAUGUGCCACACAAUGAUGAACCAAAGUAAGGGUAUUCUAACUCUGGAUCUUUACCUUUUUCAACUUGGGAAAGAAAAUCCUAAGCUGAGACUUUUCUCGAUUCACAGUUUUCUUGGGCUUAUCUGAAGAGACAAUUUUUGUAUUUUUAUCAAUACUAUUACUAGGUUGACUAAUUGCAAGUUCACCAUCUUCGGCCCACUCCCGUCUCAAGAGAACAAGAUAAUGUUCUUUAGCCUUUUCAAGUUUCAACCUCCCUCCCUUCCAGAAGGUACCCAUUAUACUGUAUGCUUACAAAUUAAAAUGAGUGUAAGCCACCAUAUCCAACAUAAAACAAAUUUCUCCUCUAAUAUGUCAAUAAAUAAACAAACAACAUGUGCACUGCCCAGGUACUCACCCGGUGGUGCUUUCUUAAAGAAAAUAAGGUAGUUAUAUGACUACAGAGUUACUGUAAGAUGAACUGUAAUAAUUGAGUCUAUACAGAAGCUGAAAGACACAAUGUUGCUCUAAUACAAAGUAACUAAAUUUUGAAAAUCUGGAUGGAUCCUUACAAGAAAAUAGAGGGAGAAUGAGUGAGCGAGAAUACCGUGCUGAAGAGCUUGGAAAGAGAUUGUGCGAAUGAGGGAAGGAAGUCCAAAUAAGCAAAUCUACGACCUUAGGUCCUCACAAUAUCCACUGCCUUAACCGUUCCCAAAGAUGACAACAUCUUGUGAAUAUCAUCGCUGGUCACAGUUUCUCCCAAUCCUCCCACAAAUAUCCUUCUUGUUGUGAUACCUUCUUCCUCCUCCUCCUUACUACAACAAUUUUGGUUGAGCCUUUCUUCCAUUUUCUCGUCCCUAUAAACCAUAACAAGAAAUCGGGAUCACAACCCGCUCAAAUCGAUUUAGACGAAAUGCUGGGAUAGGAUGAGAUGGAAUAACCCUUCUCUGAAUGGAACAAAUACCCAUUCCAUGAAAUUGGAUAUGGAGAAAUCUUCGAUGUUCAUUUCAGUGUGUGACAACAUCCAAUUCAGAAAUCAACAAUGCUGGAACUGAAAUGGAAUACCUAUUCACAGAAAGAAGAUACCAAUUUGCAGAAAUAGGAUACCCAUUUCCCAAAAUCAGAUAACCAGAAAUCAUUCAUUCCUAUUCCAAUAUUUC